RNAcentral lists this non-coding RNA (171 nucleotides) under Glossina pallidipes. RNAcentral describes it as "eukaryotic large subunit ribosomal RNA". It matches the Rfam family "Eukaryotic large subunit ribosomal RNA", at positions 2139 to 2287 of the family's 3401-position model. Lineage: Eukaryota; Metazoa; Arthropoda; Insecta; Diptera; Glossinidae. The record is from RNAcentral.
UCUCUAAUUAAAACAAGGCAUUGCGAUGGCCCUAACGAAUGUUGACACAAUGUGAUUUCUGCCCAGUGCUCUGAAUGUCAAAGUGAAGAAAUUUAAGUAAGCGCGGAUAAACGGCGGAAGUACCUAUGAGUAUCUCCCCUAGUAACUAUGACAAACACCCAUGUAGCGAUU